CUACGGGAGGCACCAGUGGGGAAUAUUGCACAAUGGGCGCAAGCCUGAUGCAGCCAUGCCGCGUGUAUGAAGAAGGCCUUCGGGUUGUAAAGUACUUUCAGCGGGGAGGAAGGGAGUAAAGUUUAUACCUUUGCUCAUUGACGUUACCCGCAGAAGAAGCACCGGCUAACUCCGUGCCAGCAGCCGCGGUAAUACGGAGGGUGCAGGCGUUAAUCGGAAUUACUGGGCGUAAAGCGCACGCAGGCGGUUUGUUAAGUCAGAUGUGAAAUCCCCGGGCUCAACCUGGGAACUGCAUCUGAUACUGGCAAGCUUGAGUCUCGUAGAGGGGGGUAGAAUUCCAGGUGUAGCGGUGACAUGCGUAGAGAUCUGGAGGAAUACCGGUGGCGAAGGCGGCCCCCUGGACGAAGACUGACGCUCAGGUGCGAAAGCGUGGGGAGCAAACAGGAUUAGAUACCCCAGUAGUC
RNAcentral lists this ribosomal RNA (464 nucleotides) under uncultured bacterium. Its description in RNAcentral is "partial 16S ribosomal RNA". It matches the Rfam family "Bacterial small subunit ribosomal RNA", at positions 339 to 795 of the family's 1533-position model. The record is from RNAcentral.